RNAcentral lists this ribosomal RNA (269 nucleotides) under uncultured archaeon. RNAcentral's name for it is "partial 16S ribosomal RNA". It matches the Rfam family "Archaeal small subunit ribosomal RNA", at positions 477 to 746 of the family's 1478-position model. The record is from RNAcentral.
CUGCAGCUCAAGUGGUCAGGAUGAUUAUUGGGCCUAAAGCAUCCGUAGCCGGCGCUGUAAGUUUUCGGUUAAAUCUGUACGCUCAACGUACAGGCUGCCGGGAAUACUGCAGCGCUAGGGAGUGGGAGAGGUAGACGGUACUCGGUAGGAAGGGGUAAAAUCCUUUGAUCUAUUGAUGACCACCUGUGGCGAAGGCGGUCUACCAGAACACGUCCGACGGUGAGGGAUGAAAGCUGGGGGAGCAAACCGGAUUAGAGACCCGAGUAGUC